Molecule: ribosomal RNA, 1425 nt
Filed under: Salmonella enterica subsp. enterica serovar Enteritidis
Lineage: Bacteria; Pseudomonadati; Pseudomonadota; Gammaproteobacteria; Enterobacterales; Enterobacteriaceae
Description: partial 23S ribosomal RNA
Rfam family: Bacterial large subunit ribosomal RNA
Source: RNAcentral
UCCCGGUUUAAGCGUGUAGGUGUGUGUUCCAGGUAAAUCCGGUUCACUUUAACACUGAGGCGUGACGACGAGGCACUACGGUGCUGAAGCAACAAAUGCCCUGCUUCCAGGAAAAGCCUCUAAGCAUCAGGUAACAUCAAAUCGUACCCCAAACCGACACAGGUGGUCAGGUAGAGAAUACCAAGGCGCUUGAGAGAACUCGGGUGAAGGAACUAGGCAAAAUGGUGCCGUAACUUCGGGAGAAGGCACGCUGACACGUAGGUGAAGUGAUUUACUCAUGGAGCUGAAGUCAGUCGAAGAUACCAGCUGGCUGCAACUGUUUAUUAAAAACACAGCACUGUGCAAACACGAAAGUGGACGUAUACGGUGUGACGCCUGCCCGGUGCCGGAAGGUUAAUUGAUGGGGUCAGCGCAAGCGAAGCUCCUGAUCGAAGCCCCGGUAAACGGCGGCCGUAACUAUAACGGUCCUAAGGUAGCGAAAUUCCUUGUCGGGUAAGUUCCGACCUGCACGAAUGGCGUAAUGAUGGCCAGGCUGUCUCCACCCGAGACUCAGUGAAAUUGAACUCGCUGUGAAGAUGCAGUGUACCCGCGGCAAGACGGAAAGACCCCGUGAACCUUUACUAUAGCUUGACACUGAACAUUGAGCCUUGAUGUGUAGGAUAGGUGGGAGGCUUUGAAGUGUGGACGCCAGUCUGCAUGGAGCCGACCUUGAAAUACCACCCUUUAAUGUUUGAUGUUCUAACGUGGACCCGUUACCCGGGUUGCGGACAGUGUCUGGUGGGUAGUUUGACUGGGGCGGUCUCCUCCUAAAGAGUAACGGAGGAGCACGAAGGUUGGCUAAUCCUGGUCGGACAUCAGGAGGUUAGUGCAAUGGCAUAAGCCAGCUUGACUGCGAGCGUGACGGCGCGAGCAGGUGCGAAAGCAGGUCAUAGUGAUCCGGUGGUUCUGAAUGGAAGGGCCAUCGCUCAACGGAUAAAAGGUACUCCGGGGAUAACAGGCUGAUACCGCCCAAGAGUUCAUAUCGACGGCGGUGUUUGGCACCUCGAUGUCGGCUCAUCACAUCCUGGGGCUGAAGUAGGUCCCAAGGGUAUGGCUGUUCGCCAUUUAAAGUGGUACGCGAGCUGGGUUUAGAACGUCGUGAGACAGUUCGGUCCCUAUCUGCCGUGGGCGCUGGAGAACUGAGGGGGGCUGCUCCUAGUACGAGAGGACCGGAGUGGACGCAUCACUGGUGUUCGGGUUGUCAUGCCAAUGGCACUGCCCGGUAGCUAAAUGCGGAAGAGAUAAGUGCUGAAAGCAUCUAAGCACGAAACUUGCCCCGAGAUGAGUUCUCCCUGAGACUUAAAGUCUCCUGAAGGAACGUUGAAGACGACGACGUUGAUAGGCCGGGUGUGUAAGCGCAGCGAUGCGUUGAGCUAACCGGUACUA